Molecule: long non-coding RNA, 1348 nt
Filed under: Scleropages formosus (Asian bonytongue)
Lineage: Eukaryota; Metazoa; Chordata; Actinopteri; Osteoglossiformes; Osteoglossidae
Description: lncRNA (ENSSFOG00015027793.1)
Source: RNAcentral
CCCUGUUCAAAGCACAGGAGGAAAGAGGGAUCGGACCAGAUGCGGGUCUUCGACAAAGAAAACCCCAGAACUGCAAACCCACGACGGACUGGCAUCCCGUCCCGCGGGCACCCGGGAUGGGCGCCGCACCACCCUGACCCUCGUUCGGAGGAAUUCAACGCGACGACCGCGAGCGAGCCACCGUCGCACUGCAAUUUCAGAUUCCGUGCUUCUAUAAAAGGAGAGCGCCGAAACACGCUAGGUUGCCAACAAUCCUGCUGGCGGUUCGAGGCCAGUCUGAGCCUGUCUGGUGGCUCUCGUGAGCGCUGCGUGCUGCUACAUUGAGAGCACGCGAAGGGCCUAAUCCCCAGUAUACCUGACAAAUUACUGACAUCCUUGCAUAACAGAGCCGUGCAGUCCAGGAACACGUAUAUGAUCUCACACACACACACACACACACACACACACACACACACACUACCUGGUAAUAAUUAGAGGUAUGCACAUUCCAAAACGCACAGAGUGCAUACUUUGAAUGGCGAAGGGCACCACGAUCCAGCGGUUAACGUUCAUAAUCGCUCGCGUUGCGGGAGCCAGAACUCGGCACGAAUUCAUUCCUGCGGCUUUGCGAGCCGAGAAGGAAAUAAGAUGCGAGCAUCGGACCCGGAAAUCGGCUCACCGGAUGGAACGCGGCACGGCGCACGAGGUCACGCGGCUCGGCUCGGCUCGCGACGGAGACCCCGAGAGCGAAACGGCCGAGGAGCUCGCCGCAUGACCCCCGACCCCCGACCCCCAUUCUGUCCCGACCGCAGCCUGUUCGGAUCACUGGAGACCACAAGCAGAGCUGGUUAUAGAGAGAAGCCCCUUCUUGAGGGAACAUCGGAGCGACACGGUGCACCGUCCAUCUCGAACCCAUCACUGUCCAGCCAAGGUUACUGUGUCUCAAUGUUAUAUCCAAUAUAUAUUGGUAUGGGUAUCUCUAAGGGGCGGCACAGCAGCACAGCGAGUAGCGCUGCUGUCUCACAGCACCUGGAUGGUACGGUAGGAGGUGGGUUCGAUCCCCGCUCAGUCUGCGCAGGUGUGUAUGUUCUUCCUAUGUCUGUGUGGGUUUCCUCUGAGUGCUCUGGUUUCCUCCCACAGUCCAAAGACAUGCUGUUCAGGUUCACCCAUAGCGUGUGAGUGACAGAGAGAGUGUGUUCCACUGAUGUAUGGAUGAGUGACCCAAUGCAAAUAGUGUAUCUAGCAGUGUAAGUCACCCCGGCGAAUAAGGCGUGUGGGCUGAUAACACAACAUAGUGUUCAUUGGAAGUCACUUUGGAGAAAAAAGUCUGCUAAAUAAAUGUAUGUAAAUGUGACGUUAAAUUGGUUUU